RNAcentral lists this ribosomal RNA (607 nucleotides) under uncultured bacterium. RNAcentral describes it as "bacterial SSU rRNA". The stretch from base 1 to 516 matches the Rfam family "Bacterial small subunit ribosomal RNA", at positions 338 to 873 of the family's 1533-position model. The record is from RNAcentral.
CCUACGGGAGGCAGCAGUGGGGAAUCUUGCGCAAUGGGCGAAAGCCUGACGCAGCCAUGCCGCGUGAAUGAUGAAGGUCUUAGGAUUGUAAAAUUCUUUCACCGAGGACGAUAAUGACGGUACUCGGAGAAGAAGCCCCGGCUAACUUCGUGCCAGCAGCCGCGGUAAUACGAAGGGGGCUAGCGUUGCUCGGAAUUACUGGGCGUAAAGGGAGCGUAGGCGGAUAGUUUAGUCAGAGGUGAAAGCCCAGGGCUCAACCUUGGAAUUGCCUUUGAUACUGGCUAUCUUGAGUACGGAAGAGGUAUGUGGAACUCCGAGUGUAGAGGUGAAAUUCGUAGAUAUUCGGAAGAACACCAGUGGCGAAGGCGACAUACUGGUCCGUUACUGACGCUGAGGCUCGAAAGCGUGGGGAGCAAACAGGAUUAGAUACCCUGGUAGUCCACGCUGUAAACGAUGAGUGCUAGUUGUCGGCAUGCAUGCAUGUCGGUGACGCAGCUACGCAUAAGACACUCCGCCGUCGGGUAGGUACGGUCGCGAAGAAGUUAAAACGUUAAAAGUAAGUUAGACGGCGUGAGACGUGCCGACGACGACGACGAGGGAGGUUAGG